CAGUAGCCGCGGUAAUACGAGGGGUGCAAGCGUUAUUCGGAUUGAUUGGGUGUAAAGGGUGUGCAGACGGCUUAUUAAGUCACUUGUUAAAUUCUUCGGCCUAACUGAAGGUCUGCAAGCGAUACUGAUGAGCUAGAGGGUGGAAGAGAGAAGUGGAAUUCUCGGAGUAGCGGUAAAAUGCGUAGAUCUCGAGGGGAACACCAAUGGCGAAGGCAGCUUCUUGGUCCAUUCCUGACGUUCAUACACGAAAGCGUGGGGAGCAAACAGGAUUAGAUACCCGCGUAGUCCCUGUCUCUUAUAA
RNAcentral lists this ribosomal RNA (301 nucleotides) under uncultured bacterium. RNAcentral describes it as "partial 16S ribosomal RNA". It matches the Rfam family "Bacterial small subunit ribosomal RNA", at positions 509 to 809 of the family's 1533-position model. The record is from RNAcentral.